Molecule: ribosomal RNA, 790 nt
Filed under: uncultured Nitrososphaerota archaeon
Lineage: Archaea; Thermoproteati; Nitrososphaerota
Description: bacterial SSU rRNA
Rfam family: Archaeal small subunit ribosomal RNA
Source: RNAcentral
UGCGAGUCUUUGUAGUAAUACAAGGCAGACGGCUCAGUAACGCGUAGUCAAUCUACCCUAUGGACGGGGAUAACCUCGGGAAACUGAGAAUAAUACCCGAUAGAACACUAUGCCUGGAAUGGUUUAUGUUCCAAAUGAUUUAUCGCCGUAGGAUGGGACUGCGGCCUAUCAGUUUGUUGGUGAGGUAAUGGCCCACCAAGACUAUUACAGGUACGGGCUCUGAGAGGAGUGGCCCGGAGAUGGGUACUGAGACACGGACCCAGGCCCUAUGGGGCGCAGCAGGCGAGAAAACUUUGCAAUGUGCGAAAGCACGACAAGGUUAAUCCGAGUGGUUUCUGCUAAAGGAACCUUUUGUCGGUCCUAGAAACACCGAUGAAUAAGGGGUGGGCAAGUUCUGGUGUCAGCCGCCGCGGUAAAACCAGCACCUCAAGUGGUCAGGAUGAUUAUUGGGCCUAAAGCAUCCGUAGCCGGCUCUGUUAGUUUUCGGUUAAAUCUGUACGCUCAACGUACAGGCUGCCGGGAAUACUGCAGAGCUAGGGAGUGGGAGAGGUAGACGGUACUCGGUAGGAAGGGGUAAAAUCCUUUGAUCUAUUGAUGACCACCUGUGGCGAAGGCGGUCUACCAGAACACGUCCGACGGUGAGGGAUGAAAGCUGGGGGAGCAAACCGGAUUAGAUACCCGGGUAGUCCCAGCUGUAAACCAUGUAAACUCAGUGAUGCAUUGGCUUGUGGCCAAUGCAGUGCUGCAGGGAAGCCGUUAAGUUUGCCGCCUGGGAAGUACGUACGCAAGU